GUAGAAAUAAACCUGAGGUUCC
Molecule: non-coding RNA, 22 nt
Filed under: Arabidopsis thaliana (thale cress)
Lineage: Eukaryota; Viridiplantae; Streptophyta; Magnoliopsida; Brassicales; Brassicaceae
Source: RNAcentral